RNAcentral lists this ribosomal RNA (817 nucleotides) under Halococcus thailandensis. RNAcentral describes it as "bacterial SSU rRNA". It matches the Rfam family "Archaeal small subunit ribosomal RNA", at positions 35 to 853 of the family's 1478-position model. The record is from RNAcentral. Lineage: Archaea; Methanobacteriati; Methanobacteriota; Halobacteria; Halobacteriales; Halococcaceae.
GGGGUCCGAUUCAGCCAUGCUAGUUGUACGGGUUUAGACCCGUAGCAAAUAGCUCCGUAACACGUGGUCAAACUACCCUCUGGAUCGGGAUACCCUCGGGAAACUGAGGCUAAUCCCGGAUACUGCUUUCUUGUUGGAACACAGAAAGUCGGAAACGGUCCGCCGCCGGAGGACGUGACUGCGGCCGAUUAGGUAGACGGUGGGGUAACGGCCCACCGUGCCGAUAAUCGGUACGGGUUGUGAGAGCAAGAACCCGGAGACGGUAUCUGAGACAAGAUACCGGGCCCUACGGGGCGCAGCAGGCGCGAAACCUUUACACUGCACGCCAGUGCGAUAAGGGGACCCCGAGUGCGAGGGCAUACAGUCCUCGCUUUUCGUGACCGUAAGAAGGUCUCAGAAUAAGAGCUGGGCAAGACCGGUGCCAGCCGCCGCGGUAAUACCGGCAGCUCGAGUGAUAGCCACUAUUAUUGGGCCUAAAGCGUCCGUAGCCGGCCGAACAGGUCCGUCGGGAAAUCCACCCGCUCAACGGGUGGACGUCCGGCGGAAACCAGUCGGCUUGGGGCCGGGAGACCAGAGAGGUACGUCCGGGGUAGGAGUGAAAUCCCGUAAUCCUGGACGGACCGCCGGUAGCGAAAGCGUCUCUGGAGAACGGACCCGACGGUGAGGGACGAAAGCUUGGGUCUCGAACCGGAUUAGAUACCCGGGUAGUCCAAGCUGUAAACGAUGCUCGCUAGGUGUGGCGUUGGCUACGAGCCAGCGCUGUGCCGUAGGGAAGCCGAGAAGCGAGCCGCCUGGGAAGUACGUCCGCAAGGAUGAA